GUGGGGAAUAUUGGACAAUGGGGGGAACCCUGAUCCAGCCAUGCCGCGUGUGUGAAGAAGGCCUUUUGGUUGUAAAGCACUUUAAGCGAGGAGGAGGCUACCGAGAUUAAUACUCUUGGAUAGUGGACGUUACUCGCAGAAUAAGCACCGGCUAACUCUGUGCCAGCAGCCGCGGUAAUACAGAGGGUGCAAGCGUUAAUCGGAUUUACUGGGCGUAAAGCGCGCGUAGGUGGCCAAUUAAGUCAAAUGUGAAAUCCCCGGGCUUAACUUGGGAAUUGCCUUCGAUACUGGUUGGCUAGAGUAUGGGAGAGGAUGGUAGAAUUCCAGGUGUAGCGGUGAAAUGCGUAGAGAUCUGGAGGAAUACCGAUGGCGAAGGCAGCCAUCUGGCCUAAUACUGACACUGAGGUGCGAAAGCAUGGGGAGCAAACAGGAUUAGAAACCCGGGUAGUCC
This 451-nucleotide ribosomal RNA is filed under the name uncultured bacterium. Its description in RNAcentral is "partial 16S ribosomal RNA". It matches the Rfam family "Bacterial small subunit ribosomal RNA", at positions 354 to 796 of the family's 1533-position model. The record is from RNAcentral.